UACGUAGGGGGCUAGCGUUGUCCGGAAUUAUUGGGCGUAAAGAGCUCGUAGGCGGCUUGUCGCGUCGGAUGUGAAAGCCCGGGGCUUAACCCCGGGUCUGCAUUCGAUACGGGCAGGCUAGAGUUCGGUAGGGGAGAUCGGAAUUCCUGGUGUAGCGGUGAAAUGCGCAGAUAUCAGGAGGAACACCGGUGGCGAAGGCGGAUCUCUGGGCCGAUACUGACGCUGAGGAGCGAAAGCGUGGGGAGCGAACAGG
RNAcentral lists this ribosomal RNA (253 nucleotides) under uncultured bacterium. Its description in RNAcentral is "partial 16S ribosomal RNA". It matches the Rfam family "Bacterial small subunit ribosomal RNA", at positions 524 to 776 of the family's 1533-position model. The record is from RNAcentral.